RNAcentral lists this long non-coding RNA (412 nucleotides) under Helianthus annuus (common sunflower). Its description in RNAcentral is "hypothetical non coding rna". The stretch from base 1 to 103 matches the Rfam family "Small nucleolar RNA Z103". The record is from RNAcentral. Lineage: Eukaryota; Viridiplantae; Streptophyta; Magnoliopsida; Asterales; Asteraceae.
AUGGAUGUGAUGAUUAUUUCCCCAGAUGAUCGAAUAUGAAAUAACUGAGCGCAUUAUUUAUGUUUCUCCUUUGGGAGAAACUCAAGCCAGAAAUCUGAUCCGUCGUUUUUUUUUGUUUUUUUUUUCAAAGGGAUAUUUGAUUUAAUUGUAAUUUGAUUUUUUUUAUUGGAGAUUUGAGAUGAUGAUUAUUUCCCCAGAUGAUCGAAGUUGAUUAUACUGAGCGCAUUAUUAUAGUUCCCUUUAAUAGGGAACUCCAAGCCAGAAAUCUGAUCCGAUUUUUUGUAUAAUUGUUUUAUGAUUUUUUUAUUGUUUUUCUGUGAAUGUGAAUGUCUCUGAUGAUGAUCCAAAUAAAACUUUCGUUCUUCUGAAUAUCUUUGUGGAAACGAUUAUUGGAGACCUGAACUGAAGAGGC